Molecule: ribosomal RNA, 216 nt
Filed under: Glomeromycotina sp.
Lineage: Eukaryota; Fungi; Glomeromycota
Description: partial small subunit ribosomal RNA
Rfam family: Eukaryotic small subunit ribosomal RNA (bases 40-216)
Source: RNAcentral
GGGUCAGUAGGUUGGUCGUGCCACCGGUACGUACUGGUCUCACUGAUUCCUCCUUCCUGAAGAACCGUAAUGCCAUUAAUUUGGUGUUGUGGGGAAACAGGACUGUUACUUUGAAAAAAUUAGAGUGUUUAAAGCAAGCUAGCGCUUGAAUACAUUAGCAUGGAAUAAUGAAAUAGGACGAUCGAUCCUAUUUUGUUGGUUUCUAGGAUUGACGUA